UCAACCAGGUAGCAUCAUUAACAACGUCGGCCUCGUACGUAGCAUAAAAUGCUAGUAUGGCACGACAGUCACAAACGCUUCAAGCAUUAAAUGCUUUUUAAGGGGCAAGUAUCCGAUAUCCACCGAGUUACCCUCGCGGCAUUCAAAAUCCGAGAACACGAGCCAAUACCCCGCAAACCAAGCCACUGGCCAUACGAUACGAGCCGCCACACUAGUGUGGUUAGACUGCAGGGACCGCUUUAUUGUCCAUCUUUAAAAAGCCCAAAAGUUUCAUAUGAUGGAGGGACAGAGUACGAUUGCUAGUUCCACCAUGCUAGGUAGGAAACACAAGGACCACGUAGCCCAACGCAUAAAUGUGCGUGAAGCCAUAGUGAAAACACGCGUCAACGAUUCCCCCUACAUAGACGGGAAGC
Molecule: unclassified non-coding RNA, 413 nt
Filed under: Santalum album (white sandalwood)
Lineage: Eukaryota; Viridiplantae; Streptophyta; Magnoliopsida; Santalales; Santalaceae
Description: partial external transcribed spacer
Source: RNAcentral